RNAcentral lists this ribosomal RNA (253 nucleotides) under uncultured bacterium. RNAcentral describes it as "partial 16S ribosomal RNA". It matches the Rfam family "Bacterial small subunit ribosomal RNA", at positions 524 to 776 of the family's 1533-position model. The record is from RNAcentral.
UACGUAGGGUGCGAGCGUUAAUCGGAAUUACUGGGCGUAAAGUGUGCGCAGGCGGCGCUGCAAGUCGAGUGUGAAAUCCCCGAGCUUAACUUGGGAAUUGCGCUCGAAACUACGGCGCUGGAGUAUGGCAGAGGAAGGUGGAAUUCCACGUGUAGCGGUGAAAUGCGUAGAGAUGUGGAGGAACACCGGUGGCGAAGGCGGCUUCCUGGACCGACACUGACGCUGAGGCGCGAAAGCUAGGGGAGCAAACGGG